CAGUCGCCGCGGUAAGACAGAGGAUGCAAGCGUUAUCCGGAAUGAUUGGGCGUAAAGUGUCUAUAGGUGGCUUUUCAAGUCCGCCGUCAAAUCCCAGGGCUCAACCGUGGACAGGCGGUGGAAACUACCAAGCUGGAGUACGGUAGGGGCAUAGGGAAUUUCCGAUGGAGCGGUGAAAUGCGUUGAGAUCGGAAAGAACACCAACGGAGAAAGCACUCUGCUGGGCCGACACUGACACUGAGAGACGAAAGCUAGGGGAGCAAAUGGGAUUAGAUACCCCCGUAGUCCCUGUCUCUUAUAC
This 301-nucleotide ribosomal RNA is filed under the name uncultured bacterium. RNAcentral describes it as "partial 16S ribosomal RNA". It matches the Rfam family "Bacterial small subunit ribosomal RNA", at positions 509 to 807 of the family's 1533-position model. The record is from RNAcentral.